Molecule: ribosomal RNA, 253 nt
Filed under: uncultured bacterium
Lineage: Bacteria
Description: partial 16S ribosomal RNA
Rfam family: Bacterial small subunit ribosomal RNA
Source: RNAcentral
UACAGAGGUCCCGAGCGUUGUUCGGAUUCACUGGGCGUAAAGGGUGCGUAGGUGGUGAGGUAAGUCGGAUGUGAAGUCUCCAAGCUCAACUUGGAAACUGCAUUGGAAACUACCUUGCUAGAGGAUUUGAGGGGGGAUUGGAAUACUUGGUGUAGCAGUGAAAUGCGUAGAUAUCAAGUGGAACACCAGUGGCGAAGGCGAAUCCCUGGACAACUCCUGACACUGAGGCACGAAAGCUAGGGGAGCAAACAGG